RNAcentral lists this unclassified non-coding RNA (224 nucleotides) under fungal sp. RNAcentral's name for it is "partial internal transcribed spacer region". The stretch from base 1 to 46 matches the Rfam family "Eukaryotic small subunit ribosomal RNA", at positions 1786 to 1831 of the family's 1831-position model. The record is from RNAcentral. Lineage: Eukaryota; Fungi.
AAGUCGUAACAAGGUUUCCGUAGGUGAACCUGCGGAAGGAUCAUUAACACUUUUAUUAUUUUGUUUUUUCUAAACAAAAUUUAAAACCCCACAAUUUUGGAUGAAUUUAAUUUAUUUAUUUUUUAUUUUAUUUUUUUAUUAUAACCCUAUUAUUUGACUAACAUUUUUAUUUAAUUAUUAAAAAAUUAAAAAAACAACUCUUAACAACGGAUAUCUUGGCUCUC